UGGGGAAUUUUGGACAAUGGGCGCAAGCCUGAUCCAGCCAUGCCGCGUGCGGGAAGAAGGCCUUCGGGUUGUAAACCGCUUUGUCAGGGAAGAAAUCUUCUGAGUUAAUACCUCGGGGAGGAUGACGGUACCUGAAGAAUAAGCACCGGCUAACUACGUGCCAGCAGCCGCGGUAAUACGUAGGGUGCAAGCGUUAAUCGGAAUUACUGGGCGUAAAGCGUGCGCAGGCGUUUUGUAAGACAGAGGUGAAAUCCCCGGGCUCAACCUGGGAACUGCCUUUGUGACUGCAAGGCUUGAGUGCGGCAGAGGGGGGAUGGAAUUCCGCGUGUAGCAGUGAAAUGCGUAGAUAUGCGGAGGAACACCGAUGGCGAAGGCAAUCCCCGUGGGCCUGCACUGACGCUCAUGCACAAAGCGUGGGGAGCAAACAGGAUUAGAUA
RNAcentral lists this ribosomal RNA (437 nucleotides) under uncultured bacterium. RNAcentral describes it as "partial 16S ribosomal RNA". It matches the Rfam family "Bacterial small subunit ribosomal RNA", at positions 355 to 784 of the family's 1533-position model. The record is from RNAcentral.